Molecule: transfer RNA, 57 nt
Filed under: Toxocara canis (dog roundworm)
Lineage: Eukaryota; Metazoa; Nematoda; Chromadorea; Rhabditida; Toxocaridae
Rfam family: tRNA
About the family: Transfer RNA (tRNA) molecules are approximately 80 nucleotides in length. Their secondary structure includes four short double-helical elements and three loops (D, anti-codon, and T loops).
Source: Rfam by way of RNAcentral
UAGCUCAGUGGAAGAGCUCCCGCUUGGUAUGCGGGAAGAUCUGGGUUCGGUUCCCGG